CUGGAACUGAAGAAAAAGUAUAAUAGAUAUUGAAAAGAUAAAUACAAGUUGAAUAGUUGAAUGUCUUGUCUUCGUUUUAAAGUUUGAAUGGUGGCUCUAUGUCAAUGUAUGUGGAAGUAGUAAGGGUUUAAAAAUGAGUGAAUUGAAUGAGAAUUUGAAGGGUCUCCCCAUUGAAAUACAUGGGAAAUUUUUGUUGAAUAAAGUUGAAUAAAAUUAAAAAUAUAAAUGUUAAAAAUGAGAAAAAUAGAAGCACACCAUUCCAAAAGAUGAGGAAUCUAAUGGUGUUUGAAUGGUUUUUCUAAGUUGAACGGUUUUGAAGGAGAUAGUCGGCGAAAAACGUACGGAAUAGGAAAAAAUAACUAGAAAGUGCAUUUUCUGAAGAAACUGCAGUGUGAAUGCUUGAAUCUGAAUGUAUGCACUGAAAUGAAAUAAUUACUGAAUUUAAGUUAAAAAUUUUGAAUGAGAUAAAAAAAAACAAAAAACCCGAAUUUAACCUGAAAACAAAAGUGCUGAACUGCUAAAAGCUGAAGGUUACACAGAAGAAGAAGUUGGAAAAAAGCUGAAAAUGUUUUAAUUGUAAAUUAGAAAACCCUAAGAAAUGAGAAAAGAACAUUUAGAGUCAGAAAACAUCUGAAUGAAUAUUAAAAGGUCAUAUUCUUUGAAUCACUGAAUGACUAAAAUGUGAUCCCUCCACUUGGACCCACACAGUUUAAAAAGUUUACAUCUCUGAGCUUUGAAAGACAAGAUGUUGGAAAGAGAACAACGAUGGCGACGUUUUGAGGGUAAAAUGAUGGCUGUAACACUGUGGACACAGCAGCAGUUGAAAGAGAAGUGCUUAAGAUGAAUCUUGGUACAGUGGCAGGCAGAGCUCGUUAAGCAGGCAGGUGUGAGCCUGGUUGCUAUAGUGACCGCACCCAAUGGCUCCAUACACACGUACACAGACAUGCGCCUCACUUUUGCUGCUUAAAAUGAACAGAAAAGUCAGGCCGAAACAAAUCGUUCCCAAAUGAAAAGUAAAAGUCGUAUUGACAAAAUUCUUUCACCGUGAGCGACAGCAGCUUCUAGUCUACCGAAUUCUCAGUUUUCAUGCCUGUGGAGUUUAUUAUAUGGACGUGGUGACAGUGUAAAGACACCAUGCUCUUCUGAUUUUCAAACGAACCUUCUGAGCCAUUUUAACAUUAGAGUCUAUGGAAGAGUUGGAGGGAGGAGGCUGUGCAUUGGUGACAUUUAUGAAAGAACCAUAACACCUAGUACAAUAGUAAACACAUUGGAUGAAAGAGGACAGCCAUGGCUACGUUUUGAGGGUAAAAUCAUACCUGUAGAGCAAACGCUGCGGACACAGCAGCAGUUUUAAAAAAGAUUUUAAGAUAAAUUUUUUUGCUCCUCUCACUCUAGCAGUUGAGCUGCCUCACUCUAGCCCC
This is a long non-coding RNA of Astatotilapia calliptera (eastern happy), 1421 nucleotides long. The record is from Ensembl. Lineage: Eukaryota; Metazoa; Chordata; Actinopteri; Cichliformes; Cichlidae.